GUAACAAGGGCACGCUCCCUGUGGGCGAAUUUACAGCUCGCUGCCUACUCGGCCAUAUUACCUG
This 64-nucleotide transfer RNA is filed under the name Sphaerodactylus shrevei. RNAcentral describes it as "tRNA-Tyr". The record is from RNAcentral. Lineage: Eukaryota; Metazoa; Chordata; Lepidosauria; Squamata; Sphaerodactylidae.